This 121-nucleotide ribosomal RNA is filed under the name Cyanistes caeruleus (blue tit). Lineage: Eukaryota; Metazoa; Chordata; Aves; Passeriformes; Paridae. The record is from RNAcentral.
GCCUACGGCCAUACCACCCUGAGAACGCCCGAUCCCGUCUGAUCUCGGAAGCUAAGCGGGGUCGGGCCCGGUUAGUACUUGGAUGGGAGACCGCCUGGGAAUACCGNCGGCGGGGUAGAGC